GAUUUAUACAGAAGAGGUAAGAGACAGGCUCGAUGACCCUCUGGCAACCAUUCGAUUCGUUGAAAAGGUGCCAAUUCCUGCCAAAUGGGAAUAUUACCAUUUGGAACUAUAAAUU
This 115-nucleotide non-coding RNA is filed under the name Aquiflexum balticum. RNAcentral's name for it is "SAM-I sequence". It matches the Rfam family "SAM riboswitch aptamer (S box leader)". Rfam says of the family: The SAM riboswitch is found upstream of a number of genes which code for proteins involved in methionine or cysteine biosynthesis in Gram-positive bacteria. The SAM riboswitch acts at the level of transcription termination control. Lineage: Bacteria; Pseudomonadati; Bacteroidota; Cytophagia; Cytophagales; Cyclobacteriaceae. RNAcentral also lists the same sequence under 1 other name. The record is from RNAcentral.